GACGAACGCUGGCGGCGCGCCUAACACAUGCAAGUCGAACGAGCGAGAGAGAGCUUGCUUUCUCGAGCGAGUGGCGAACGGGUGAGUAACGCGUGAGGAACCUGCCUCAAAGAGGGGGACAACAGUUGGAAACGACUGCUAAUACCGCAUAAGCCCACGGUGCCGCAUGGCACAGAGGGAAAAGGAGCAAUCCGCUUUGAGAUGGCCUCGCGUCCGAUUAGCUAGUUGGUGAGGUAAUGGCCCACCAAGGCGACGAUCGGUAGCCGGACUGAGAGGUUGAACGGCCACAUUGGGACUGAGACACGGCCCAGACUCCUACGGGAAGCAGCAGUGGGGAAUAUUGCACAAUGGGGGAAACCCUGAUGCAGCGACGCCGCGUGGAGGAAGAAGGUCUUCGGAUUGUAAACUCCUGUUGUUGGGGAAGAUAAUGACGGUACCCAACAAGGAAGUGACGGCUAACUACGUA
RNAcentral lists this ribosomal RNA (466 nucleotides) under uncultured bacterium. RNAcentral's name for it is "partial 16S ribosomal RNA". It matches the Rfam family "Bacterial small subunit ribosomal RNA", at positions 28 to 507 of the family's 1533-position model. The record is from RNAcentral.